UACGUAGGGGGCAAGCGUUGUUCGGAUUUACUGGGCGUAAAGCGCGUGUAGGCGGCUUGGCAAGUCGGAUGUGAAAGCCCACGGCUCAACCGUGGAAGCGCAUCCGAAACGGCCUCGCUCGAGUCUCGGAGAGGAAGGUGGAAUGCUUGGUGUAGAGGUGAAAUUCGUAGAUAUCAAGCAGAACACCUGCGGCGAAGGCGGCCUUCUGGACGAUGACUGACGCUGAGACGCGAAAGCGUGGGGAGCAAACAGG
This 253-nucleotide ribosomal RNA is filed under the name uncultured bacterium. RNAcentral's name for it is "partial 16S ribosomal RNA". It matches the Rfam family "Bacterial small subunit ribosomal RNA", at positions 524 to 776 of the family's 1533-position model. The record is from RNAcentral.